RNAcentral lists this ribosomal RNA (1363 nucleotides) under uncultured bacterium. RNAcentral's name for it is "bacterial SSU rRNA". It matches the Rfam family "Bacterial small subunit ribosomal RNA", at positions 8 to 1369 of the family's 1533-position model. The record is from RNAcentral.
AGAGUUUGAUCCUGGCUCAGGAUGAACGCUGGCGGCGUGCUUAACACAUGCAAGUCGAACGGAGUACCCCUGAAGGAGUUUUCGGACAACUGAUGGGACUACUUAGUGGCGGACGGGUGAGUAACGCGUGAGUAACCUGCCUUGGAGUGGGGAAUAACAGCUGGAAACAGCUGCUAAUACCGCAUAAUAUGUCUGUGUCGCAUGGCACUGGACAUCAAAGAUUUAUCGCUCUGAGAUGGACCCGCGUCUGAUUAGCCAGUUGGCAGGGUAACGGCCUACCAAAGCGACGAUCAGUAGCCGGCCUGAGAGGGUGGACGGCCACAUUGGGACUGAGACACGGCCCAAACUCCUACGGGGGGCAGCAGUGGGGAAUAUUGCACAAUGGGGGAAACCCUGAUGCAGCGACGCCGCGUGAGUGAAGAAGUAUUUCGGUAUGUAAAGCUCUAUCAGCAGGAACGAGACAAGACGGUACCUGACUAAGAAGCCCCGGCUAACUACGUGCCAGCAGCCGCGGUAAUACGUAGGGGGCAAGCGUUAUCCGGAAUCACUGGGUGUAAAGGGAGCGUAGACGGCUGUGCAAGCCUGAAGUGAAAGGCGGGGGCCCAACCCCUGGACUGCUUUGGGAACUGUACGGCUGGAGUGCAGGAGAGGUAAGUGGAAUUCCUAGUGUAGCGGUGAAAUGCGUAGAUAUUAGGAGGAACACCAGUGGCGAAGGCGGCUUACUGGACUGUAACUGACGUUGAGGCUCGAAAGCGUGGGGAGCAAACAGGAUUAGAUACCCUGGUAGUCCACGCCGUAAACGAUGAUUACUAGGUGUCGGGGGGCAGAGGCCCUUCGGUGCCGCAGCAAACGCAAUAAGUAAUCCACCUGGGGAGUACGUCCGCAAGGAUGAAACUCAAAGGAAUUGACGGGGACCCGCACAAGCGGUGGAGCAUGUGGUUUAAUUCGAAGCAACGCGAAGAACCUUACCCGGCCUUGACAUCCCCCUGACAGUGUAUGUAAUGUACAUUCCCUUCGGGGCAGGGGAGACAGGUGGUGCAUGGUUGUCGUCAGCUCGUGUCGUGAGAUGUUGGGUUAAGUCCCGCAACGAGCGCAACCCUUACCCACAGUAGCCAGCACAAAAGGUGGGCACUCUGUGGGGACUGCCGGGGACAACCCGGAGGAAGGUGGGGAUGACGUCAAAUCAUCAUGCCCCUUAUGGCCGGGGCUACACACGUGCUACAAUGGCGUAAACAAAGGGAAGCGAGAGAGUGAUCUUAAGCGAAACUCAAAAAUAACGUCCCAGUUCGGAUUGCAGUCUGCAACUCGACUGCAUGAAGCUGGAAUCGCUAGUAAUCGCGGAUCAGAAUGCCGCGGUGAAUAC